This 4360-nucleotide long non-coding RNA is filed under the name Musa acuminata (dwarf banana). RNAcentral describes it as "long non-coding RNA (MACU_LNC007174)". Lineage: Eukaryota; Viridiplantae; Streptophyta; Magnoliopsida; Zingiberales; Musaceae. The record is from RNAcentral.
GAGGCCACCAACCCAACUAAAAUGGGACUAUUAAGCCUUCGGCCGCCCCUUUACAUGCUGUACAAGGCAUGAACAUGCCAAAAGACACGGACAUACAUAAGCAUUACAUCAAACACCUUGUUUAGAAGUUUGUCCGUGACAUUCUCCCCCACUUAUUCCUUCGACGUCCUCGUUGAAGCCUUUGUCAACACUGCAACUCCUCGCCUUUGCUGAGUCUUCAAUCUUCUGCUCCAGCUACAAUGCGCCUCUUGGCUCCUUGCUGCUCUUCGUUGCUAUUUUUGAGUAGUCGAACCUUUGAUCCGCCAAGCUGCUUCAACUCACCAAUGACUCUGACUCUGGUGUGGGGUUGGUUGAGUCGUGUUGAUCCUUGUUGAUUCCUACGGAUCCCCUAGAUGAAGGAAAAGACCAUCCUUACUGCGCCAGUCUCUCGAAUUUCUCAUGCUGCUAGAACUGGUUGGAUACUUGUUGGAGCUUUAACGAGCAUCAUCUCGCAAACUUCUGAAGUUUUGAGUCCUUCCUCCACAAAAUCUGCUCAUUGACUCUUCUUUCACUUAGUUGUCACAUCCAAGUAGGUUCGCAUCACUUCCGCUUUCGAUUGGCAUUUCGUUUGGAAAUGAAGCGGACAAUCUACUCUCAGUAGCACUGAUCACCGUUGGUGAGGAUUUGACAACUAUUGUCUUCCAUUAUCUUUGAAGGGUCUUUGAACAUCUGCAGAGCUCCUCUGCUAGAUAGAUAAGAGAAUUGGGGUACUCGGUUUCGCCCAUUCUCUUGAGAGUUGAGAAGGUAAAGGUUACUUGACUUCGCCUGCCUCCUCGAGGUUGUACUUCAUGCAUCAAGCUGGUUACUGGCCUUCGCCUGCUCUUUGCUCACACUUCUGAAGCACUUGAAGUGUUUGCACUCCUUGCGUUGAGUUAGUUACUGUGAUUCACCUUCUCAAUGCCAUCGAACUUCUGGAAUGCGGGAAGUUUUCACCCCAACUUGGAGUAAUUCUCUCAUAGGUUUGGUCGCUUCUGGGAUUAUACCGUCUUCUCCAUCAACCCUGCCGCCUACUCCACUGAGUAGCAAAGGUACAGCACCGCGUACUGCCUGCUUCGUUCCUUGGUUAUGCACUCUUGCAUGACCCGAAGUCCUUCACUUUCGGCUAUCUUGAUGAGAAGCACCUUGACACCGGUCUUACGAAGUUCUUCGACCUCUGCCCUUCAGCCUUAUCUCGGUACUUGGAGAUUGCCUCUGCAUUCUCCACCUCCUCGGCCCCUUUCACGACCAAGCGCUCUCCCUCCAUGAGAGCAAGGGAUCAAUGACUUUCACGGAAGUCCCGCCUCUGCGGUACCAUGGCGCUGCCAUGCCCAUAGCCCUACUAUCCGUCGCCUCGCAUCUGCAUCUCUUUUCUUCACAAUCAGUAGAUAUGCCUCUGUGGCACUCCUUCGAGUCCACCUCCAUUCUAACUGAUGCUUGAUUUUGGGUAGCUAAGUCCCUCUGGACUCGUCGUCGCUUCCUCGCCCCUUUCGACCCCCUGCUUCAACACCUUUGUGUUCUCCAAGCAGUCCGUUUGGUCGAUGGAAAGACAGACUGCAACUCCCAUGCAUGGCCUCUGCCAUCACGUUGUAGGGUUUGCACUGAUUCUGUUCUCCUUAGCUUCCUUGGUAGCAACGUUCGCUUACUCGGCCUUGUCCUCUGACUUGCCGGGCUCCCUUAAGCGAAUAUGAGCUCUAGAGUAGUCCAACUCUCCAGCUGCUUCGAUCAUACCUCUGCAUGAUCAAGUUCCUCCCAUGGAACUCACUGGUACUUGCAUUCGAACUUUUUCCUUGGUGGAACCCAGCCCCCAUAUGCUGAUGACCAAGGUUUUCAUCCGAUGCAAAAUUCGAUGCACGCACAGAAGACCCACCUCUGCGGUACCAUGGCCUUCACUCCUUGAAUCCAUAGCCCUUCUUGCCGUCGUGUUGUUCACCGAAGUGGAGCUCCCAGUAGCUCCCGAUCAUACCUCCAUAUGAUCUAAUCCCUCCCGGGACUAGGUCGUGUGUAUCGCAUUGCCAUCGAACAGUUCCACCACGAUCCGCUGCACCAUGUCGCCUCCUGGUGACAUCUCCAUUGCAUUCUGAUCCUUGUGGAAUAAACUCGAAUUGUGAACCCUCCAUGUGUGGCCUCUGCCAAUACAUCGCAGGGUCUCCUCCACCUUUGAUUUUGUUCGCUCCUUUGGCAAUCGACCUUCAUCCACCCACUCUUGGGUCACACAUAGAUGAAGCACCGCUCUAGGACAGUCCGUCGCCUAGUAGCUCCCGAAGUCCACCGACUUCACUGUAAUUUGUGCACCAUUGGCUGGAUCCUGGGCCUCUGCCCCUACCAGCACAAUCUCCGCUGCGCACUGCUUCCUUCAUAGCAACUCGAAUGACAACACUGUGGCAUAUUAUUCAAGAGUACCCGCCUCUGCGUCCUCUUGCCCCGUGCUAAGGCCUUCUGAACCCAACUUCGCCUCUGCAAAUUGAGUCGCCUUAGUUCCUCCAUUAAAUGCUCCUCCGAGAUAAGGUGCAUGUGCCCAGAAGCUCCCUUCGUCAUUGGCACCAUGCAAGAUGAGUCCGCUCCGUUAGAAAGAAGGACCCCUGGAACAACAUGAUCCUACUCUUGCCUCUGCAAGAGUUCAUGUCCUUGACCUCUGUCUAAGAAAAGCACUGUGUCUCUACUCCACGUUCCAACUUCUAUGCUGGCUCCCUUCAUGCGGCUUGAGUACUUCGCCAAGUUACACCCAAGUUGCUCCGCUCCUCGUUUUUGCAUUGAGUCGAUGGUGGCCCUCGCGCCCACCAUUCCACGGGUCAGCCCUCUUUUGAGUCUGAUCUCCACAUCGACUCCAAGUGUGCCUUCAUUUAAGUUGCUUUGGGUCGCUCCCCCACUUGAUCUCGCAAUGCAUCCACCAAUGCAUUCUCUCAAGCGAGAUCAUGCGACGACUCCUCGCCGCUUGCUCAGUCCAUCGAGCUUCGUGGAGUUGUUGUUUGUUGAGGUACUCCUUCUCAACAUGUGAGGUCCGUCUCACAUGAUUCUCCCUCUGGAGAGCCGGGACUUAUCCCUCCUGGAUAACUAUCUCGUUGGAGCAACAUCUCUCUUCAUUUGGGAGACCACUAUCCCCUUGGACUACUCCGAUCUGCUGAACAAACUGUGCAUUGUUCUGCCUCCUGCAAACGCACUUGCUAGAUUGCGACUCCCCGUCAAUACAGUCCCCGCUGCACCCCUCAAGGCCUAGCAACAUGCUGAACUCGUUGCACACUUCAGCCUCCUACGGACGUAUCCUUCACAUGCCGAAGAGAAAGUUUCAAUGCUCCAUGGCGCCGAGUUUCGGUCGCCUUGGGAUGGCUACGAACAUUCCAUCGUCCGCAUACAAGCCCAUGCAUGAGUACCAAAUUCUUCGAGUUAGCAAUUCCCCUCACCUCUGUGAGCUUUGCAUAACUCUUUUGGUCAUUGAGCAACUCAUUCCACCUUGGAUGGUCUCAUCCUUUACCAAGCACCUCGCUUGCCUUGAGCACCAUCAAGUAUCUUUGUCAACGUUGAGUCGUAGCUCAAACUCAGCCAUCCCAACCUUUGUGCGCUCCACAUUUUUCCAAGCUUGCCUGUUCUCGUGGUGCCUCUUGCGCGAAGGGUUGGCCAUUCCUCUGAAUGCCAAUCUCAGAUGCCCGCUCAUCUGAGCGACUCCUUUUCCCUACAUCUCCAUGCCCGUUUUCCCCCAAACGGUCGCGCGUGUGCUGACUGCCCUCAACGCAGUCCCGCUAGGUCCCCCACGUUUGCAUGCUAAAUGUUUCUAUGAGUGCUUGUCCCGCUCUGAUACCAUCUGUCACGAACUUAGCUGGUUUUGCCUAAGUCGUGCGGCACCCUUGCGAGUCCAUCCGCAAAGGUCAGCCUCCCCGAAGCCUCCCAUUGUCCCUUAGGAUCACCAAAAGAGAGAACGGGUUAGAGAGAACGCCUCAAUCAGGAUCCACAAGCAAACAUCUCCGAAAAACACUUCAUAGACAAUGCAAAUUAUAAACAGACUUUACAAGCUCUGAACAGUGGCACAACAAAGGGUAAAAUGGUCCAUUACAGAUCGAAAAUCUCUCACACGUGUCCACAUUACACAACCUUUAUUUACAAGCCUAAAGAGGCUACCAACCCAACUAAAAUGGGACUAUUAAGCCUUCGGCCGCCCCUUUACAUGCUGUACAAGGCAUGAACAUGCCAAAAGACACGGACAUACAUAAGCAUUACAUCAAACACCUUGUUUAGAAGUUUGUCCGUGACAGUGAGGGACUAGAUCAUACAGAGGUAUAAUCGGGAGCUACUAGAAGCUCCACUUCGGUGAACAACACGAUGACAAGAAAGGCUAUGGAUUCAAGGAGUG